GCCAGACUCCUACGGGAGGCAGCAGUGGGGAAUAUUGGGCAAUGGGCGGAAGCCUGACCCAGCAACGCCGCGUGAAGGAAGAAGGCUUUCGGGUUGUAAACUUCUUUUCUCAGGGACGAAGAAAGUGACGGUACCUGAGGAAUAAGCCACGGCUAACUACGUGCCAGCAGCCGCGGUAAUACGUAGGGGGCAAGCGUUAUCCGGAUUUACUGGGUGUAAAGGGAGCGUAGACGGCAAUACAAGUCGGAAGUGAAAUACCCGGGCUUAACCUGGGAACUGCUUUGGAAACUGUAUGGCUGGAGUGCUGGAGAGGUAAGCGGAAUUCCUAGUGUAGCGGUGAAAUGCGUAGAUAUUAGGAGGAACGCCAGUGGCGAAGGCGGCUUACUGGACAGUAACUGACGUUGAGGCUCGAAAGCGUGGGGAGCAAACAGGAUUAGAUACCCCUGUAU
RNAcentral lists this ribosomal RNA (449 nucleotides) under uncultured bacterium. Its description in RNAcentral is "bacterial SSU rRNA". It matches the Rfam family "Bacterial small subunit ribosomal RNA", at positions 330 to 793 of the family's 1533-position model. The record is from RNAcentral.